Molecule: long non-coding RNA, 1345 nt
Organism: Thunnus maccoyii (southern bluefin tuna)
Lineage: Eukaryota; Metazoa; Chordata; Actinopteri; Scombriformes; Scombridae
Exons: 3
Source: RefSeq, a predicted model, not a curated record
GUGCUCCUGGUGGCCAGUCCGACUCUGCAUACAACUUUUAAAGCUAAGUUUUAAGUCAAUAUUUGAAAGGCAUAACGUUAAAAGUGAUAUGACUAAGAUGCAUAUGCCAAUGGUUAGUUAAAUGCUAAUGCCACAGUUUGCUAGUGUUAGCUAAAUUAGCUAGUUAACAAUCUUACAUUCCUUGACACAUCUGGUGUGAAGGUCGCUUCUCUCACCCACGAGUUCAGAAGUACCUUAGAGAGCGGAGACCAGACAUCACACACUACUAUGACGUGUGGCACACUACAAAAGUAUCAUCAUAAUGAAUCAAGUAUUGUUAUUGAUAAGUUUAUAUUUAUCAUGGUUAUAUCAUUGUUUUACAUUUGUCAUGAAUGCAUCCCGCAGGCAUCAACAAGAAAGUGGAAGGAAUCACUGAGGAGAAAGGGUGUGAGAGAGUAAAGAAGUGGCAGGCAAGCAUAAAGAAUCACCUUUACUGGUCAGCUGCAAACUCCUCAAGUGGGGGAGAGACUGUGGCCAAGUGGACAUCCAGAAUGGUCAUGUGCAUGAAGAUCCCCUGUUCCCUGCCUGCCUGCAUGGCCCUUCCAAGGCACCUCAAAGUGGCUGAAGCCAACCGCCGAGCCUUACUACAGGCUAGAAAAAGUGCUGGAGAACAAGCGUCUUCUCAAAGACAUCUGAAUGCUCAGCCCACUGCACCAGAUCUCUAACCUGGAGAUGUUAUUAUGUCCACAAAACUGUGUGUGUUACUCUCAAUAAAAUGCUUUCAUUUCAGGCAUUACCUGACCACAUUCCACUUAAAUGAGAAUGCUGGACGCUGCCAGGCAAAGACUGCUAAAUUAGACCUUCGGUAUAAAGUCUGCUUCCCCAGGGACAGGAAGGGGGGCCUUCCAUUGAGCCAGUCAAGACUCCACCACCUUGUCGUGACUUGAAAAUGUUUACUAGUACUUUGAUCUGACAUUGCAUUGAUAUAAUUCAGAUACAAACCAUAGUGAAGAGCAUAACAAACAUGAAAAGUAAUUAACAUUAUCAUUAUCAUUAACAAAAACAUCCUAUAAUUUUAUUAAGGUUACAUCGAUGAACUUCUGAACCUCCUACUGUAUGUAGUUACAGUAUAUAGUUAAAAAAACAUGUACUGUCCUCUUCCUCCCUCCUUCCUUCUCUGUUUUGUCUUAUAGUUAGAUACCCAAUAGGCUGCUGGAGGAUGGACCACUACUCAUCUGCUCUGCCUGCUAUGGUGCAUAUGAAGUCCAUCUCCCACACUUCAGAUACCCCACAGGCUGCUGGAGGAUGGACCACUACUCAUCUUCUCUGCCUGCUAUGCUGCAUAUGAAGUCCAUCUCCCACACUG